GACGAACGCUGGCGGCGUGCUUAACACAUGCAAGUCGAACGGAAAGGCCUCUUUCGGGGGGUACUCGAGUGGCGAACGGGUGAGUAACACGUGAGUAACCUGCCCUUGACUUUGGGAUAACUUCAGGAAACUGGGGCUAAUACCGGACAGGAGCUCCUGCUGCACGGUGGGGGCUGUAAAGUUUCGGCGGUUGGGGAUGGACUCGCGGCGUAUCAGCUUGUUGGUGGGGUAGUGGCUUACCGAGGCCUUGACGGGUAGCCGGCCUGAGAGGGUGACCGGCCACAUUGAGACUGAGAUGCGGCCCAGACUCCUACGGGAGGCAGCAGUGCGGAAUAUUGCACAAUGGGUGGCAGCCGGGUGCAGCAACGCCGUGUGCGGGAUGACGGCCUUCGGGUUGUAAACCGCUUUCGCUCGUGACGAAGCUUUGUGUGACGGUAGUGGGUAAAGAAGCACCGGCUAACUACGUG
RNAcentral lists this ribosomal RNA (467 nucleotides) under uncultured bacterium. RNAcentral describes it as "partial 16S ribosomal RNA". It matches the Rfam family "Bacterial small subunit ribosomal RNA", at positions 28 to 507 of the family's 1533-position model. The record is from RNAcentral.